UACCUACGGGGGGCAGCAGUGGGGAAUAUUGCACAAUGGGGGAAACCCUGAUGCAGCGACGCCGCGUGAGUGAAGAAGUAAUUCGUUAUGUAAAGCUCUAUCAGCAGGGAAGAAAAUGACGGUACCUGAGUAAGAAGCCCCGGCUAACUACGUGCCAGCAGCCGCGGUAAUACGUAGGGGGCAAGCGUUAUCCGGAUUUACUGGGUGUAAAGGGAGCGUAGACGGCUGUGCAAGUCUGAAGUGAAAGCCCGUGGCUCAACCGCGGAACUGCUUUGGAAACUGGAUAGCUUGAGUACUGGAGAGAC
RNAcentral lists this ribosomal RNA (305 nucleotides) under uncultured bacterium. RNAcentral describes it as "bacterial SSU rRNA". It matches the Rfam family "Bacterial small subunit ribosomal RNA", at positions 335 to 658 of the family's 1533-position model. The record is from RNAcentral.